GGUAAAAUGGCUGAGAAUAGGCGAUAGAUUGUAAAUUUAUUUACGAAAUAGAUAUUUCUUUUACCA
Molecule: transfer RNA, 66 nt
Filed under: Chrysomeloidea sp. 5 KM-2017
Lineage: Eukaryota; Metazoa; Arthropoda; Insecta; Coleoptera
Description: tRNA-Tyr
Source: RNAcentral